CUCACAUUCUGUAAAUAGUUUACCACAAAUCCCUAAGUAUUUUUUGAGUGAUAUUGCUGUUCAUGGUCUGCCACUUUAACUGACCUUGGCAAUAGAAUAGUUUUCCUUCUCCAAACAAUCUUAAAAUAAUACCUCAAAAUAAAUCCUGUGAAGAGCAGGACCAGAAAAUAGAUGGGAAGAAACAAUCUUUGAACCCAAGAAACAUGGAAGAUUGGCUCACUCAGAAAAUAAAAAAGGUAGCACGGUCCAGGACAGGAAGCAUCCCAGCAAGACAGCAGUAGACUCUAUCUAUAGCAAACCAAGGGGAGACCUUGAAUAUCAGUGUGGGAGCAGGCAGACAUCAACACCAGAUAUCUUCUACAUAAGAUCUACCAAAUGAUAUUGAUAUUCUGAGUCAUUUAAUAAUUUUUUAAUACCCUGUGACAUUAUCUCUCUACUUCCUGUUCUACUCAGUCAUACACUUGGAAAUAUUAUUUACAUUACAUACCCUGAAUAUAUUCUUAAUAAAUAUGUUGCAACUAAUCUUAAAAUCUAAUGUCUAUCUUUUUCUUGCUUUUUAAGGUUAAAAAUCAAUUUGAUCAUUCUUAGAUCAUAGUAUUUUUAAGCAUGUUUAGAAGAUAGCAUAAGGACAAUGUGUAUUAUGUAGCCUUGAAGCCAGGAAGACCUAGAUCCAAAUCCUUCCUUUAACAUAUACUGGCUGAGUAACCCUGGACAAAAAUUAAAAUCACAGUAUUUUAAACAACUCUCCAAUUUUAAGUUGAAGGGAAGACAAUUGAUAUAUGGAAUUUGCUCACCUGAUAAUACUAAAUACCAAUGAAAUCACAGAUUUAGAUCCUAUAUCAUUAGGAAAUCAUUAAUGCUAGGAAAAUAACUCCAUAGACUAGUAGACAAUGUGGUCAUUGAAAGUAUUGCUCUACUUAAAAAGGGUACAUAUGGAGUACUUACAAAUGGAAAAAAAACCAGAUAUUUUUUGGUGGGAAGUCCCAGGAGGGCUUCAUGAAGAAAGUAACACUGCAGCUAUGCUUUGAAAGGUAGAAAGAAUUUCAAGAAGUGAAAUAUGAGUCUGGGAAAUGAAUUAGACAAAUAUUCUAAACAGUAUUAGAGUAGACUGAAAG
Long non-coding RNA from Sarcophilus harrisii (Tasmanian devil), 1115 nucleotides. RefSeq lists it as uncharacterized. The transcript has 2 exons. Lineage: Eukaryota; Metazoa; Chordata; Mammalia; Dasyuromorphia; Dasyuridae. The record is from RefSeq and is a predicted model, not a curated record.